GAUGAACGCUGGCGGCGUGCCUAAUACAUGCAAGUCGAGCGAACAGAUAAGGAGCUUGCUCCUUUGACGUUAGCGGCGGACGGGUGAGUAACACGUGGGUAACCUACCUAUAAGACUGGGAUAACUUCGGGAAACCGGAGCUAAUACCGGAUAAUAUUUCGAACCGCAUGGUUCGAUAGUGAAAGAUGGUUUUGCUAUCACUUAUAGAUGGACCCGCGCCGUAUUAGCUAGUUGGUAAGGUAACGGCUUACCAAGGCGACGAUACGUAGCCGACCUGAGAGGGUGAUCGACCACACUGGAACUGAGACACGGUCCAGACUCCUACGGGAGGCAGCAGUAGGGAAUCUUCCGCAAUGGGCGAAAGCCUGACGGAGCAACGCCGCGUGAGUGAUGAAGGUCUUCGGAUCGUAAAACUCUGUUAUUAGGGAAGAACAUACGUGUAAGUAACUGUGCACGUCUUGACGGUACCUAAUCAGAAAGCCACGGCUAACUACGUG
This 497-nucleotide ribosomal RNA is filed under the name uncultured bacterium. RNAcentral describes it as "partial 16S ribosomal RNA". It matches the Rfam family "Bacterial small subunit ribosomal RNA", at positions 28 to 507 of the family's 1533-position model. The record is from RNAcentral.